GGACAAGGGGAAAUGGUUUCAAACUGAAAGAGAGUAGCUACAGGUUGGAUAGAAGGAAAAAGUCUCCUACAGUGAAGGUGGUGAGUCACUGGAACAGGUUGCCCAGAGAUGUGAUGAAAGUCCUGACCCUGGAAACAUUCAAGACCAGGCUGGACAGGGCACUGAGCAACCUGAUCUAGCUGUGGGUGUCCCUGUUCAUUGCGGUUAGCUUUGUGGGGAAGUCAUGUUUCUUGGGAGAAGUUGCACUGAAAUGGAAAGUGAAAUCUGUAAGAACAUAUAAACUUUGUGUUAGGUGACUGGGG
Molecule: long non-coding RNA, 302 nt
Filed under: Gallus gallus (chicken)
Lineage: Eukaryota; Metazoa; Chordata; Aves; Galliformes; Phasianidae
Source: RNAcentral